Molecule: long non-coding RNA, 731 nt
Filed under: Homo sapiens (human)
Lineage: Eukaryota; Metazoa; Chordata; Mammalia; Primates; Hominidae
Description: HSALNT0399505
Source: RNAcentral
CGGCUGCCGGGCGGAGACGCUCCUCACUUCCCAGACAGGCACCGAUAAUACGCUGUCAUGUGUACAGUAACAUUCAAGAUGGAACUGGAGGAGCAGGGAACAUAGAGUGAUGGGGAAGAAAAGAGGGAAUCCCGAGCAGAGAAAACUGGGAAAAGAACUAGAGGGAAUGUAAAUGGAAAGGCUAGAGCUACAGAGGCAUCUCGAUCUAUGAGAAAAAGGCCACGAGAAUCAUAGGGGCCUCACUCAGCCUUGUUAUCCCUGAGCUCCUGAAUCAGUGCCAGAAACCACCUGUGGAGUCCUAAUAAGAUAACUCCUUUUAGAAGAAAAUUCAAGAUCUGGCAACACUGUGCCCAAGCUUCUCUAAGGAAGAGAUUGUCAAAGUGUGGUGCCUGGACCAGCAGCAUUAGCAUCACCUGGGACCAGUUAGAAAUGAAGAUGCUCAGGCUCCAUCCCAGACCUGCUGGGGCUGGGGCCCAACAAUCUGUGUUUUAACAGGCUCCCUGUGUGACUGUGAUACGUGAUGCUCCAAGGUAAUUGGCCACUGAAGAAAGUAAAGACUGUUCUACACCUAAGAAGCAAGGACUCAAUUACAGCAUGUGUUACUGCAUUAUAUCAUUUAAAAUAUUCAAAAUUAAUGGAAGGAAUAAACACAGGCUAAAGGAUGAUUUAAAAAAAGAGUUAAAUGCUGGUUUGAAUCCUUACUUUUUAAUACCACUUUUUAAAAAGGUUAU